RNAcentral lists this long non-coding RNA (705 nucleotides) under Callithrix jacchus (white-tufted-ear marmoset). RNAcentral describes it as "lncRNA (ENSCJAG00000079754.1)". The record is from RNAcentral. Lineage: Eukaryota; Metazoa; Chordata; Mammalia; Primates; Cebidae.
UGUGAUCUAGGCUCACUGCAGCCUCCGCUUCCUGGAUUCAUUGUAAUAUGUUUGGUUCUUUAUCAUUACUAAGGUAUAUGGUCCUGGGUACUGCUUUAAACAAAGCAAAUCAGGGGAACUUUCUUUUUUCUUUUCUUUUCCUUUUCUUUCUUUAGACGGAGUCUCACUCUGACACCCAGGCUGGAGUGCAGUGGUGCAAUCUCAGCUUAUUGCAACCUUCGCCUCCAGAGUUCAAGCGAUUCUCCUGCCUCAGCCUCCCAAGUAGUUGGGAUUACAGAUAUGCAUUUUUGAGACAAGAGGCUGUAGCUGGCCUUGGAAGAAGAAAAAUGAGAACAGGUUCUGGAAAGGGGAAAAGGACCAAACAAUCCUUCCAUCACAGGAGGGAGAGAUAGCACUGAACAGGAAACAGAUGGGGACAUUGAAAUUCAAGAGGCUAAGAAACCUGACCCACACCCUGCAGCCUGAGAGAGGAGCAGAGCUGAAAUUGGAACCCAGCUCCAUGGCACUCCAGAGUGGGAUCAUGCAGCCACUCGAGGGCUGAGCUAGCACUUCCAUUGACCCAUGAAUUGAGGAACUGAACCCUGGAGAGUGGAAUAGAACGUGUUACCCUGAGACCCUCUCCUCCCCUGCCUCAUUCUUGUCUUUAAAGCCCUGCUCAGUCAGCUUGAGAGACCCAGUGUCCUGGACCCUUGCUAUGCAAAGAGG